UCGCACGAGAACGCUCCGGCUUCGGCCGGGGCAAGUACAGUGGCGGACGGGUGCGUAUCGCGUAGAUAACCUGCCCUCAGGCGCGGGACAAUCACGGGAAACCGUGGCUAAUACCGCACGUCGUCUGGGCCCCGCAUGGGGACCAGAUGAAAGCUUGGGGUUACCCAGGCGCCUUGGGAUGGGUCUGCGUUGGAUUAGCUUGUUGGUGAGGCAACGGCUCACCAAGGCGACGAUCCAUAGCUGGUCUGAGAGGACGAUCAGCCACACUGGGACUGAGACACGGCCCAGACUCCUACGGGAGGCAGCAGUGGGGAAUCUUGCACAAUGGGGUCACCCCUGAUGCAGCCAUGCCGCGUGGAGGAAGACACCCCUAUGGGGCGUAAACUCCUUUUCUGAACGAAGAAACCCCUGUAGGUUCAGGGCGCGACGGUAGUUCAGGAAUAAGCACCGGCUAACUCCGUGCCAGCAGCCGCGGUAAUACGGAGGGUGCAAGCGUUGUCCGGAAUCACUGGGUGUAAAGGGUGUGCAGGCGGGGCAACAAGUCGGAUGUGAAACCCCAUGGCUCAACCAUGGAGGUGCAUUCGAAACUGUUGCUCUUGGGUCCCGGGGAGGCUGUCGGAAUUCGUGGUGUAGCGGUGAAAUGCGUAGAUAUCACGAGGAACACCAGAGGCGAAAGCGGGCAGCUGGACGGGUACUGACGCUCAGGCACGAAAGCGUGGGGAGCAAACAGGAUUAGAUACCC
This 742-nucleotide ribosomal RNA is filed under the name uncultured bacterium. Its description in RNAcentral is "bacterial SSU rRNA". It matches the Rfam family "Bacterial small subunit ribosomal RNA", at positions 62 to 787 of the family's 1533-position model. The record is from RNAcentral.